This 320-nucleotide small nuclear RNA is filed under the name Jaculus jaculus (lesser Egyptian jerboa). RNAcentral's name for it is "7SK RNA (ENSJJAG00000006729.1)". It matches the Rfam family "7SK RNA". Rfam says of the family: 7SK was discovered as an abundant small nuclear RNA in the mid-70s but a possible function has only recently been suggested. Two independent studies have found that 7SK RNA binds the CDK9/cyclin T complex (known as elongation factor P-TEFb). Lineage: Eukaryota; Metazoa; Chordata; Mammalia; Rodentia; Dipodidae. The record is from RNAcentral.
GGAUGUGAAGGCUAUCUGGCUGUGACAUCUGUCACCCCAUUGAUCACUGGGGUUGAUUCAGCUGAUCUGGCUGGCUAGGUGGGUGUCCCCUUCCUCUCUCACUGGCCCAUGUGCAUCCCCCGCAAAGCUGCAUGCUCGGUCAAAGAGGAUGACCUUCCCCAAAUAGAGGAGGACCGGUCUUUGGUCAAUGGUAUAUGAGUAGCUGUGCUCCCCUGCUACAACCUCCAAACAAGCUCUCAAAAUGCUUAAAGAAAAGGAAGAUAUGGGAUGGCAUAUUUAAAGUGCUUAAAGACAAGGAUUAUCAAACAAAAAUUCUAUAU